This 468-nucleotide ribosomal RNA is filed under the name Triticum aestivum (bread wheat). Its description in RNAcentral is "partial small subunit ribosomal RNA". The record is from RNAcentral. Lineage: Eukaryota; Viridiplantae; Streptophyta; Magnoliopsida; Poales; Poaceae.
GCAUCUAGAGCUAGGCUCUUCAAGGAGUACAAGGAGGUGCAGCGAGAAAAGUCAGCCGACCCAGAUAUCCAAUUAAUCUGUGAUGAUUCAAAUAUAUUCAAAUGGACUGCUGUAAUCAAGGGCCCAUCGGAGACACCUUUUGAAGGUGGCGUAUUUCAACUUGCAUUCUCAAUUCCCGAGCAGUAUCCUCUACUGCCUCCGCAAGUCCGCUUCAUCACCAAAAUUUUCCACCCAAAUGUUCACUUCAAGACUGGUGAAAUAUGCCUGGAUAUAUUGAAGAAUGCAUGGAGCCCUGCGUGGACCCUACAAUCUGUUUGCAGAGCCAUUAUUGCGUUGAUGGCCCAUCCGGAAGCAGACAGCCCACUUAACUGCGACUCAGGCAAUCUUCUCCGCUCGGGCGACAUCAGAGGCUACCAGUCCAUGGCGCGGAUGUACACCAGGCUAGCUGCCAUGCCAAAGAAAGAGUGA